UUGAGACGAGUGGCGAACUGGUGAGUAACACGUGGGUAACCUGCCCUUGAAGUAGGGGAUAACACUUGGAAACAGGUGCUAAUACCGUAUAACAACCAAAACCACCUGGUUUUGGUUUAAAAGACGGCUUCGGCUGUCACUUUAGGAUGGACCCGCGGCGUAUUAGCUUGUUGGUAAGGUAACGGCUUACCAAGGCGAUGAUACGUAGCCGACCUGAGAGGGUAAUCGGCCACAUUGGGACUGAGACACGGCCCAAACUCCUACGGGAGGCAGCAGUAGGGAAUCUUCCACAAUGGACGAAAGUCUGAUGGAGCAACGCCGCGUGAGUGAUGAAGGGUUUCGGCUCGUAAAACUCUGUUGUUGGAGAAGAACAGGUGUCAGAGUAACUGUUGACAUCUUGACGGUAUCCAACCAGAAAGCCACGGCUAACUACGUGCCAGCAGCCGCGGUAAUACGUAGGUGGCAAGCGUUGUCCGGAUUUAUUGGGCGUAAAGCGAGCGCAGGCGGUUUUUUAGGUCUGAUGUGAAAGCCUUCGGCUUAACCGGAGAAGUGCAUCGGAAACCGGGAGACUUGAGUGCAGAAGAGGACAGUGGAACUCCAUGUGUAGCGGUGAAAUGCGUAGAUAUAUGGAAGAACACCAGUGGCGAAGGCGGCUGUCUGGUCUGUAACUGACGCUGAGGCUCGAAAGCAU
This 691-nucleotide ribosomal RNA is filed under the name Lentilactobacillus buchneri. Its description in RNAcentral is "bacterial SSU rRNA". It matches the Rfam family "Bacterial small subunit ribosomal RNA", at positions 86 to 762 of the family's 1533-position model. The record is from RNAcentral. Lineage: Bacteria; Bacillati; Bacillota; Bacilli; Lactobacillales; Lactobacillaceae.